This 492-nucleotide ribosomal RNA is filed under the name uncultured bacterium. Its description in RNAcentral is "partial 16S ribosomal RNA". It matches the Rfam family "Bacterial small subunit ribosomal RNA", at positions 29 to 507 of the family's 1533-position model. The record is from RNAcentral.
AGUGAACGCUGGCGGUAGGCCUAACACAUGCAAGUCGAACGGCAGCACAGUAAGAGCUUGCUCUUACGGGUGGCGAGUGGCGGACGAGUGAGGAAUACAUCGGAAUCUACUUUUUCGUGGGGGAUAACGUAGGGAAACUUACGCUAAUACCGCAUACGACCUACGGGUGAAAGCAGGGGAUCUUCGGACCUUGCGCAAUUGAAUGAGCCGAUGUCGGAUUAGCUAGUUGGCGGGGUAAAGGCCCACCAAGGCGACGAUCCGUAGCUGGUCUGAGAGGAUGAUCAGCCACACUGGAACUGAGACACGGUCCAGACUCCUACGGGAGGCAGCAGUGGGGAAUAUUGGACAAUGGGCGCAAGCCUGAUCCAGCCAUACCGCGUGGGUGAAGAAGGCCUUCGGGUUGUAAAGCCCUUUUGUUGGGAAAGAAAAGCAGCAGGUUAAUACCCCGCUGUUCUGACGGUACCCAAAGAAUAAGCACCGGCUAACUUCGUG